CAACAAUAGGGGUGCUGGAAAGAAUAAAUACGUUUAUUUUCUCUGUUUCAUCCUGGUGAAAAGUGGGCUGGAGAGUGGCACUGAUUCUUGUUCCCUUUCUUGGAAGAGUGUGUUUUCCUAACCUUCCAGGGAAAAUUCAGUACAGACGCAUGUAUAUGGCUUCUAUCGAAGAUACAUAAUUGGGAAGAGAAGAGCAC
RNAcentral lists this long non-coding RNA (197 nucleotides) under Fukomys damarensis (Damara mole-rat). Its description in RNAcentral is "lncRNA (ENSFDAG00000024892.1)". Lineage: Eukaryota; Metazoa; Chordata; Mammalia; Rodentia; Bathyergidae. The record is from RNAcentral.